CAGCAGCCGCGGGAAUACGUAGGUGGCAAGCGUUGUCCGGAAUUAUUGGGCGUAAAGCGCGCGCAGGCGGAUCGGUCUGUCUGUCUUAAAAGUUCGGGGCUUAACCCCGUGAUGGGAUGGAAACUGCCAAUCUAGAGUAUCGGAGAGGAAAGUGGAAUUCCUAGCGUAGCGGUGAAAUGCGUAGAUAUUAGGAAGAACACCAGUGGCGAAGGCGACUUUCUGGACGAAAACUGACGCUGAGGCGCGAAAGCCAGGGGAGCGAACGGGAUUAGAUACCCGUGUAGUCCCUGUCUCUUAUACC
RNAcentral lists this ribosomal RNA (301 nucleotides) under uncultured bacterium. Its description in RNAcentral is "partial 16S ribosomal RNA". It matches the Rfam family "Bacterial small subunit ribosomal RNA", at positions 509 to 808 of the family's 1533-position model. The record is from RNAcentral.